UGCAGUCGAGCGGACAGAUGGGAGCUUGCUCCCUGAUGUUAGCGGCGGACGGGUGAGUAACACGUGGGUAACCUGCCUGUAAGACUGGGAUAACUCCGGGAAACCGGGGCUAAUACCGGAUGGUUGUUUGAACCGCAUGGUUCAAACAUAAAAGGUGGCUUCGGCUACCACUUACAGAUGGACCCGCGGCGCAUUAGCUAGUUGGUGAGGUAACGGCUCACCAAGGCAACGAUGCGUAGCCGACCUGAGAGGGUGAUCGGCCACACUGGGACUGAGACACGGCCCAGACUCCUACGGGAGGCAGCAGUAGGGAAUCUUCCGCAAUGGACGAAAGUCUGACGGAGCAACGCCGCGUGAGUGAUGAAGGUUUUCGGAUCGUAAAGCUCUGUUGUUAGGGAAGAACAAGUACCGUUCGAAUAGGGCGGUACCUUGACGGUACCUAACCAGAAAGCCACGGCUAACUACGUGCCAGCAGCCGCGGUAAUACGUAGGUGGCAAGCGUUGUCCGGAAUUAUUGGGCGUAAAGGGCUCGCAGGCGGUUUCUUAAGUCUGAUGUGAAAGCCCCCGGCUCAACCGG
This 577-nucleotide ribosomal RNA is filed under the name Bacillus subtilis. Its description in RNAcentral is "bacterial SSU rRNA". It matches the Rfam family "Bacterial small subunit ribosomal RNA", at positions 56 to 616 of the family's 1533-position model. Lineage: Bacteria; Bacillati; Bacillota; Bacilli; Caryophanales; Bacillaceae. The record is from RNAcentral.